RNAcentral lists this ribosomal RNA (254 nucleotides) under uncultured bacterium. Its description in RNAcentral is "partial 16S ribosomal RNA". It matches the Rfam family "Bacterial small subunit ribosomal RNA", at positions 524 to 776 of the family's 1533-position model. The record is from RNAcentral.
UACGGGGGGAGCAAGCGUUGUUCGGAUUUACUGGGCGUAAAGGGCGCGUAGGCGGCCACCGCAAGUCGACUGUGAAAUCUCCGGGCUUAACCCGGAACGGUCAGCCGAUACUGCGGGGCUAGAGUGCAGAAGGGGCAACUGGAAUUCUCGGUGUAGCGGUGAAAUGCGUAGAUAUCGAGAGGAACACCUGCGGCGAAGGCGGGUUGCUGGGCCGAUACUGACGCUGAGGAGCGAAAGCGUGGGGAGCGAACAGG